AGCGAACGCUGGCGGCAGGCUUAACACAUGCAAGUCGAACGGGCAUAGCAAUAUGUCAGUGGCAGACGGGUGAGUAACGCGUGGGAACAUACCUCUUGGUUCGGAACAACACAGGGAAACUUGUGCUAAUACCGGAUAAGCCCUUACGGGGAAAGAUUUAUCGCCGAGAGAUUGGCCCGCGUCUGAUUAGCUAGUUGGUGUGGUAAAAGCGCACCAAGGCGACGAUCAGUAGCUGGUCUGAGAGGAUGAUCAGCCACAUUGGGACUGAGACACGGCCCAAACUCCUACGGGAGGCAG
RNAcentral lists this ribosomal RNA (297 nucleotides) under uncultured Pseudomonadota bacterium. RNAcentral's name for it is "uncultured proteobacterium partial 16S ribosomal RNA". It matches the Rfam family "Bacterial small subunit ribosomal RNA", at positions 29 to 351 of the family's 1533-position model. Lineage: Bacteria; Pseudomonadati; Pseudomonadota. The record is from RNAcentral.